RNAcentral lists this ribosomal RNA (210 nucleotides) under uncultured bacterium. RNAcentral's name for it is "partial 16S ribosomal RNA". It matches the Rfam family "Bacterial small subunit ribosomal RNA", at positions 524 to 733 of the family's 1533-position model. The record is from RNAcentral.
UACGAAGGGGGCUAGCGUUGUUCGGAUUUACUGGCGUAAAGCGCACGUAGGCGGUUGUUAAGUUCAGGGUGAAAUCCCGGAGCUCAACUCCGGAAACUGCCUUUGAUACUGGCAAGCUAGAGUCCGGAAGAGGUAAGUGGAACUCCUAGGUGUAGAGGUGGAAUUCGUAGAUAUUAGGAAGAACACCAGUGGCGAAGGCGGGCGAUUACU